GGUAGUAGCAUGUAUUCAAACAAGGACUCUGAAGGCAGAAGUAAAGAAGGGUUCCAUGUGAACAGCAGUUGACCAUGGGUCAGUAGGUCCUGAGAAAUGGGUGAGCCACUUUCUGAAAGGAUUCUUUCAAUCGGGAGAAGAAACAAAAUCAUUCUUAGGUCAACAAAAACUGAAAGAAUUUACCAACACUAAACCAGUUCUUCAAGAAAUACUAA
This 215-nucleotide non-coding RNA is filed under the name Tupaia belangeri chinensis (Chinese tree shrew). RNAcentral's name for it is "Tupaia chinensis (Chinese tree shrew) Eukaryotic large subunit ribosomal RNA". It matches the Rfam family "Eukaryotic large subunit ribosomal RNA", at positions 1456 to 1684 of the family's 3401-position model. Lineage: Eukaryota; Metazoa; Chordata; Mammalia; Scandentia; Tupaiidae. The record is from Rfam by way of RNAcentral.